AGAGUUUGAUCCUGGCUCAGAAUCAACGCUGGCGGCGCGCCUAACACAUGCAAGUCGAACGAGAAAGUGGAGCAAUCCAUGAGUAAAGUGGCGUACGGGUGAGUAACACGUGGAUAAUCUGCCCUUUAGUGGGGAAUACCGAUGGGAAACCGUCGACAAUACCGCAUAAGCUCGAGAGAGGAAAGCAGCAAUGCGCUGAAGGAGGAGUCCGCGGUCGAUUAGCUAGUUGGUGAGGUAAUGGCUCACCAAGGCUGUGAUCGAUAGCCGGCCUGAGAGGGCACACGGCCACACUGGCACUGAAACACGGGCCAGACUCCUACGGGAGGCAGCAGUGGGGAAUCUUGCACAAUGGGGGAAACCCUGAUGCAGCGACGCCGCGUGAGCGAUGAAGCCCUUCGGGGUGUAAAGCUCUUUCGGCAGGGAAGAUUAUGACGGUACCUGCAGAAGCAGCUGCGGCUAACUACGUGCCAGCAGCCGCGGUAAUACGUAGGCAGCAAGCGUUGUUCGGAGUUACUGGGCGUAAAGGGUGCGUAGGCGGUCCUGUAAGUAUGGUGUGAAAUCUCCCGGCUUAACUGGGAGGGUGCGCUAUAGACUGCGGGACUAGAGGGUGGGAGAGGAAAGUGGAAUUCCUGGUGUAGCGGUGAAAUGCGUAGAUAUCAGGAGGAACACCGGUGGUGUAAACGGCUUUCUGGACCAUUUCUGACGCUGAGGCACGAAAGCGUGGGUAGCAAACAGGAUUAGAUACCCUAGUAGUCC
Molecule: ribosomal RNA, 756 nt
Filed under: uncultured bacterium
Lineage: Bacteria
Description: bacterial SSU rRNA
Rfam family: Bacterial small subunit ribosomal RNA
Source: RNAcentral